Non-coding RNA from Bactrocera oleae (olive fruit fly), 1146 nucleotides. The record is from RefSeq and is a predicted model, not a curated record. Lineage: Eukaryota; Metazoa; Arthropoda; Insecta; Diptera; Tephritidae.
AGAAAAACGAAUAUACAAUUUACUACUCAAGAAGAAUAAAAAAAGCGUAAUUUCACUAAAAACAGGGAUAAAGGGACGCUUAUUCCAGUGUGAGAGCGCUUCAAAAUUAGCGUCUUUUAUAACAUUUUGCGUUGUAGCCAGCUCAGUCAAAAUAAAAAUUGUUGGGCAUUUAAACUAAAACACCCAACAUUUAUUAAGAUUUAAAUUAUUAUAUAUAUAUCCGAUUAACACAUGGAGGAACUAUUUAAAUCCUUUUUUGUGAUUUUGUGAUAUUUUAAAACAACCGGUUUUUGAACAUUCAAUAGUUAAGAGAGUUGAGCAUUCCUUCAUCUCUGCUACAAAUUUGGCUUUUAGAGAGCAUUGCGGAAAAAUUGCAUUCCUAGAAUAAAACCAAUUCAGAUUGAUAAAUAUGCAAUUUAAACAUAAUUAUGUUGGAGGUUCAAGACGAUACAUGGAUUUUGAUUGGUAUUGGUAUACCAUCGUUUGUUGGAAAGAUUUUGCCUCAUUUUCACUCAUAAUUUGUAAACGUUACAAAGAACGAUUUGUGGAGCAUCGACAGAUUCUAUUGCAAGAUUUUGUAUAUUGGGCUUGUCGUCAUCCGGUACUGUGACAGUGCGAAGUGUGGCAUCAUUUUUUGACCUGCUACUGUGACAAGAUGUUGAAAUCAAGCAUAAGGAAAGCCAAACGUGACACAUAUGUAGGAGUCUCUUAUUGUUGGGCCAUAUCUCUUAACAUUAUCCAAUGAGACGGCGAAACGUUAUGAAACACAAUGUAAAAAAUAACUGCAACGUAUUGGUGAUGGCAGGUCGGACCUGGCAAAGGCCUUAAAUAGAGACGAGCGUCGUGCACCCUUAAAAACAACACCGUUAUCGGAAAGUGUUGGGCGUAAAGUUCGCCUCGGAUCGGAAAGUUAAACCAUAAAUUGGACUCGAUACCAUUCACAGACCGUUUUUAGUUCUACAGUCAAUACGACACGAGAGUUAGUCUCUUUUUAGUUACAUAUGCCUAAGGAAUGAAAGAACCUUGUGCCUAGCUUAAAGAUACCCAAAAGCCAAUAUUUCAGUAUCUACUAACUGGUAUUAGAGUAAUUAAUCUAAUUGCUACCUCGCUUGUCAAUCUCGUUCAUAAAUGGCUUCAUUUUCUAUG